Malaclemys terrapin pileata is the source of this 2372-nucleotide long non-coding RNA. RefSeq lists it as uncharacterized. NCBI's taxonomy places the organism in Eukaryota, Metazoa, Chordata, Testudines, Emydidae. The record is from RefSeq and is a predicted model, not a curated record. The transcript has 3 exons.
CUUCUACAGAGCCGAGGAGCAGAGCAGUUGUCCAGACUUCCUGAUACCCACGUGGUACUGACGUUCUUUAUUUCAACUCCAUUCUUAAAUCCCAGCCCUGCAACUGAAUACAUGUGCGUGGAACCUGGCACCCAUGCAUCUCUGUCGUCUUUAAUGGGAGUCCACACCGCUUUAAGAAUGGAUCAGAUAUCAACAUCAGCUGCAGACUGUCAAUUGUAACACUUCCAGGUGGUUACCACAUCAAGCAUCCCAAGCAGCAUAUUGCUGGAAGUGCCACAUAACAGGUUAACUCUUGAAAGCAGAAGAAAAGUAGUGGGCUCAAAGGAUAUCUUGUUUUUUUCCAAGCCAAGUGCUGUUUUCUUGAACCUCUUGUAAAUGGAAGACCUCUGCUAAAGGAUUCUGAACUCUGCAGGGCAGAGGCUGCCUCUCGCUGUCUGUACAAUGCCUAGCACAAUAGAGCCCAAAUCUUAAUUGGGGACUCCAGAUGAUACUGUAAUAAUUUAAUAAUGACAACUUAUUGGAGCUCUGGAUCUUCUGAUUGGAGCCUGAUACUGGAGACCACAGAACACAUUCUGCUGUGUGGUACAUUGAGGAAGAUGCAAGAGAAACAGGUUCUCCCUUCCUUCUGGAGGAAGGCUACUGUGAUACAUUGGCGUGCUGCUUUUACAUUCUGGACUGAGCUCAGUUGCUGGCAUUCCGGUCACCUGAUUGUGUGAAUGGUUUUUACAGUUGCAAGAAAUUAAUUAUUUUUUAAAAAUAAUUUUGCUUCUAACAUGCUGAUGUUGGGGGCUCUGAGCACAUAAUGCACAUGGCAGAGGAGAUACGGAUUGACUUUCCUGAAACUCAGUGCAGAUACUCUUCAACCUGUUCUCCAUUUCAUGGUAUUAGUUGUUAAGAACAGGGAGGAACAAAUGCAGGCAGCUGGUUUUCCAGAUAACGCACUUAGCCUUAUAGGACCCAUUGAACAAUGACAGCACAUAAUGCUGGUUGGUUGUUGGGGAUUAUAUUUUUCUGAGCAAUUUUAUUUAUGACACGAUUUUGAUUUUUGUUAAGAUGAUAGCCUUACAGGGGGGAAAGGGAAAUGCAAAUAAAUAGUGUCAAUUAUUGACAUCCCAUUCCCAUUGCUUAAAGUAUUAUUAUCAAAAUCUUGACAUAAGAGGCCAAGCUUUGGCUGGUCUCUAUGCAGGGACUCAAGGUGGGAACCCCACCUGCACACUCCCUCUGUGCAUGGGCCAGCCACAAUUGAUGUCCUUGUGCUCUGAUGACCACAGGGGCUGCUCCCUGCUGUGCCCCUUGAGAUACUUGUCACGCCAAACAUGGCAGGGAAGAGGUGGACCUUGGAAAAGUAUAAUCUGCAAUCCCCUCCACAACGAGCCUGCCCUACCACUUCCGCAUCCCAUUUAGGGUGACUGAUAUCCCAUGGAGCACUAGCCAGGAGCAGUCCAUGUGCUCAGGGAAGCAUGGAGACUGCAAUUGUGGUCGGUUCCCUAUAGGCUUAGGGAUGGAAGGAUGGGGGUGGAAUAGUCUUGUACCCUUCUUUAGUACCCAAACAAGACUAGCUCCCAUCUGGCCCUAGAUAUAAAAUGCUUUUUAUCUUCAAAGUGCUUUGCAAAAAUGAAGUUGUGACCGUGCACCCCAUAAAGCUUUACGGAAAUAUGCUUAUGAAUGUAUAUAUAUAUGACAUAACUGGAAUAUGUUUUAUGAUACAUAUACCAUGUAACAUAUCUCUGUAAAGGUUAUGAUCUAUUGAAUCUAUUCAUCCUAUUUGUAUGCAUGUGUCCUUGCUGUAUUUGAAGUUAUGAAUAUUGUGUACUUGCUUGAUUUCUAAGUAGCUUUAGUAAAGCAUUUGGUCAGCUUCUUGAGAAAGGAAUGUGCAAAUUAAGUGCCCAAUCAAGAAACACUUAAAGGACAAUGAAUCUUGGAAGGCUCCAAUCCACAUAAGACAUCUACCUGAGGAUGUUCAGGGUAGCAUGUAAACAAUGGCUGCUGCCUGUAAAAACUGAGUCAUGCAUGGACAUGUGACUUACCCAUGUGACUCCAAAACUCCAUCUUGGAGCUGGACUUUGCAUAGGAGAGAGGAGGGGGUCUCCACCCACAAGAGAGAGUCUAUUUAAACCCCUGGGAGACCCCUCCAUUUUGUCUUCGGCUGGCUCAAGAGAUAUCCUUGAGGGUGGAGAGGCUACCUGAAAGAAACUGAAACAAAGGACAGUAACUACUGGGGGUGUGAGUGAUUGCUGGACCCAGACUAGAAGGAGACUAGUCUGUAAAAGGAAGCUUACUGGAAUUCCUCUGAGGGUGAGGACUGUAUUCAGUUUUCUUACUGUAUUAGACAUAGAACACUCAAGUCUAUUUUAUUUUGCUUGGUAAUUCAC